RNAcentral lists this ribosomal RNA (460 nucleotides) under uncultured bacterium. RNAcentral describes it as "partial 16S ribosomal RNA". It matches the Rfam family "Bacterial small subunit ribosomal RNA", at positions 338 to 795 of the family's 1533-position model. The record is from RNAcentral.
CCUACGGGUGGCAGCAGUGAGGAAUAUUGGUCAAUGGACGAGAGUCUGAACCAGCCAAGUAGCGUGAAGGAUGACUGCCCUAUGGGUUGUAAACUUCUUUUAUAAAGGAAUAAAACGAGGCACGUGUGCCUUUUUGCAUGUACUUUAUGAAUAAGGAUCGGCUAACUCCGUGCCAGCAGCCGCGGUAAUACGGAGGAUCCGAGCGUUAUCCGGAUUUAUUGGGUUUAAAGGGAGCGUAGAUGGGUUGUUAAGUCAGUUGUGAAAGUUUGCGGCUCAACCGUAAAAUUGCAAUUGAUACUGUCAGUCUAGAGUACAGUUGAGGUAGGCGGAAUUCGUGGUGUAGCGGUGAAAUGCUUAGAUAUCACGAAGAACCCCGAUUGCGAAGGCAGCUUACUAAACUGUGACUGACAUUGAUGCUCGAAAGUGUGGGUAUCAAACAGGAUUAGAUACCCCUGUAGUC